RNAcentral lists this ribosomal RNA (284 nucleotides) under uncultured bacterium. Its description in RNAcentral is "partial 16S ribosomal RNA". It matches the Rfam family "Bacterial small subunit ribosomal RNA", at positions 28 to 313 of the family's 1533-position model. The record is from RNAcentral.
GAUAAACGCUGGCGGCGUGCCUAAUGCAUGCAAGUCGCACGGAGCGCUCUUUCGGGGGUGCUGAGUGGCGAACGGGUGAGGAACGCGUGGACAACCUACCCCGGCGUGGGGGAGUACCCGCCAGAAAUGGCGGCUAAUACCGCGUACGGUUCUCUGGCGAGGGGCUGGGGAAAGAAAGCCGUGAGGCGCGCUGGGAGGGGUCUGCGGCCGAUUAGCUGGUUGGCGGGGUAAUGGCUCACCAAGGCGAUGAUCGGUAGCUGGUCUGAGAGGAUGAUCAGCCACAC